ACCGGUGGGACUCUUGACCCUGGUACCCAAAAUGUGUGGAACUCGUGAUCAGAGAAUUUUAAUUCUCAAUCAUAGAGUCCCAGACAUGUAGGACUCUUGGUCGAAGAGUCCCAGUCUAGUGGGACUCUUUACCAGCCAUCAGAUUAGAUAGGAACCUUUAACGUGUGUGACCCUGCAGGUUUGAACCUAAGUCGGUAGCACAGGAACCAAUUCCUAUACUAAUCGAAGUGACCAUCUAGCAAUGGUACCC
RNAcentral lists this long non-coding RNA (250 nucleotides) under Elaeis guineensis (African oil palm). RNAcentral describes it as "long non-coding RNA (EGUI_LNC061664)". The record is from RNAcentral. Lineage: Eukaryota; Viridiplantae; Streptophyta; Magnoliopsida; Arecales; Arecaceae.